UCCCCAGUGGCGCAAUUGGUUAGCGCACGGUACUUAUAAGCAGUACUUGUGAGUGAUGCCGGGGUUGUGAGUUCGAGCCUCACCUGGGGAA
RNAcentral lists this transfer RNA (91 nucleotides) under Cordylochernes scorpioides. Its description in RNAcentral is "tRNA-Ile". It matches the Rfam family "tRNA". From Rfam's summary of the family: Transfer RNA (tRNA) molecules are approximately 80 nucleotides in length. Their secondary structure includes four short double-helical elements and three loops (D, anti-codon, and T loops). The record is from RNAcentral. Lineage: Eukaryota; Metazoa; Arthropoda; Arachnida; Pseudoscorpiones; Chernetidae.